RNAcentral lists this small nucleolar RNA (105 nucleotides) under Oryza brachyantha (malo sina). RNAcentral's name for it is "snoRNA snoR44_J54". It matches the Rfam family "Small nucleolar RNA R44/J54/Z268 family". From Rfam's summary of the family: R44, J54 and Z268 are members of the C/D class of snoRNA which contain the C (UGAUGA) and D (CUGA) box motifs. The record is from Rfam by way of RNAcentral. Lineage: Eukaryota; Viridiplantae; Streptophyta; Magnoliopsida; Poales; Poaceae.
UUGGCAUAUGAUGAGAAACAGGACAAAAACGUCUGCAGCAUUCCAGAUCCAAAUCAGGGAUGCCAUAGCAUGAUGACUCUUGUCUAGGGGAAUCUCUGAUGCUGA